CCCUUAGAUGUCCUGGGCCGCACGCGUGCUACACUGACGCCUACAGCGAGUACUUCCCAGCCCCGAGAGGUGGCUGGUAAUCAGCAAUAGGCGUCGUGAUGGGGAUAGAUCUUUGGAAUUAUGGAUCUUGAACGAGGAAUGCCUAGUAAGCGCAGGUCAUUAGCCUGCGCUGAUUAAGUCCCUGCCCUUUGUACACACCGCCCGUCGCUCCUACCGAUUUCGAGUGGUCCGGUGAAUCUUUCGGACUGCGCGCGGCCUCGUGCCGUGUCGCGGAAAGUCAGGUAAACCUUAUCACUUAGAGGAAGGGGAAGUCGUAACA
Molecule: ribosomal RNA, 319 nt
Filed under: uncultured eukaryote
Lineage: Eukaryota
Description: partial 18S ribosomal RNA
Rfam family: Eukaryotic small subunit ribosomal RNA
Source: RNAcentral